GACGAACGCUGGCGGCGUGCUUAACACAUGCAAGUCGAACGGAAAGGCCCUGCUUUUGUGGGGUGCUCGAGUGGCGAACGGGUGAGUAACACGUGAGUAACCUGCCCUUGACUUUGGGAUAACUUCAGGAAACUGGGGCUAAUACCGGAUAGGAGCUCCUGCUGCAUGGUGGGGGUUGGAAAGGUUCGGCGGUUGGGGAUGGACUCGCGGCUUAUCAGCUUGUUGGUGGGGUAGUGGCUUACCAAGGCUUUGACGGGUAGCCGGCCUGAGAGGGUGACCGGCCACAUUGGGACUGAGAUACGGCCCAGACUCCUACGGGAGGCAGCAGUGGGGAAUAUUGCACAAUGGGCGGAAGCCUGAUGCAGCAACGCCGCGUGCGGGAUGACGGCCUUCGGGUUGUAAACCGCUUUCGCCUGUGACGAAGCGUGAGUGACGGUAAUGGGUAAAGAAGCACCGGCUAACUACGUG
This 468-nucleotide ribosomal RNA is filed under the name uncultured bacterium. Its description in RNAcentral is "partial 16S ribosomal RNA". It matches the Rfam family "Bacterial small subunit ribosomal RNA", at positions 28 to 507 of the family's 1533-position model. The record is from RNAcentral.